Molecule: long non-coding RNA, 1338 nt
Organism: Actinia tenebrosa (Australian red waratah sea anemone)
Lineage: Eukaryota; Metazoa; Cnidaria; Anthozoa; Actiniaria; Actiniidae
Source: RefSeq, a predicted model, not a curated record
GGUAGAGUGCAUUUCAAACCACAGGGAGCCGUUGCAGCGAACUUGGUCCGCCAGAAAGGCUUCCUGUGGUUUUCAGACCAACAGGGAUUGGAUCGGGCCUAGCUCUAUCCUUCUAUUAACCCUUCAUCUUUAAACAUGUCUAAUCAAUCAUCCCAAUUGUUUUCUUCAGAAACACCAGCCUCCAACAAUCCAAGUUGAAUAGAGAAGACGAAGGACUAAUGAAGUAGAAGGAAGAAAGUAAGACAUCAAUAAAGAGGGAAAUGGGAGAAACAAAGAGGAAAAAAAAGAGGAAAAACGAAAUCAAAAAGGGUGCGCGGUCAAGCCAACGGGUUCAUAUUUCACCUCACCUUGGUAACCAAAUGGCGGAAGGUUCAGUGAAUGGUUUGAAAAUCCUAUUGACGGGUGUUGAUGUCAUGAAUGGAUGGCUAUUCUACGUAUACAAUCGCCGACUGCCGUGGGAUAAAAAUGGAUUUCACCCGCAUAUCCGCAGCAGUUUAGCUUUUACCACCGACGACAAAGCAUUACGAUCUUGACAGCGUAUCUAUCCAAGGUUUACUUCAUAAGCAAGGCAAAGAUUAUCAAAUAUCUUGAAGAGCAGCAAUUUGUCUUAAUUAUAUAACAUUGAAGAAAAGUAGAUGUGUCGAGAAGUAGAUGUGUCGUUGGACACUGCGUAAUUCAUAUGACUCCAAAAGCUACCACGCAUGCGCAAGACCCAUUAGAAAGACAACAAGAAUGUCGAGAAGUUGGAAGACUUUUACGUUCAAUAGGAGACGACUUGCAGAGGAAUUCCGCUUAUCAAGAACGCCCUCCUCAAAACAAUUAUUUCUUGUCAAUUUUGCUCGUAAUAUUUGAACUAAUAUCAAGACUCUACGAGGUAAAUUAAAAUGACCCGCGAGUAUAAAACAAACAAAAACUAGGCUACGUACAAUAUCGAGGCUUUAGUGCGAUGGUACUUCAUGUAUGUACAAAAAUAUGGUUAUCAAAUAGAUUUACCUUCAUGAACGUAACGCUUUGUCACACAUGACAUUUUUACCCGUUAAUUGUCAAUAUCUUAGUACCAUAGUACUCAUGUAUGUACAAAAAUAUGGAUAUCAAAUAUAUUUACCCUCAUGAACGCAACGUUGUGUAAUACAUGACGUUUCUGCCCGUUUGCAAUGUUUCAAACAAAAAAUCGGUAGAAAAGCUUUCCAGAUAACCACUUUAAUCCAACAUAAUCUUAACAAUUUACUUCUAAAUCUUGGUAAAAAUAUUUUUUGUCGAUCAUUCAAAAGACCAAAACUAUUGUAUAGUAAUAAAUGUAAAUAGAAAUGUUCGUUAAAUAAAAAUCGUAGAAAAUGA